Molecule: ribosomal RNA, 141 nt
Filed under: Branchipolynoe seepensis
Lineage: Eukaryota; Metazoa; Annelida; Polychaeta; Phyllodocida; Polynoidae
Description: partial small subunit ribosomal RNA
Rfam family: Eukaryotic small subunit ribosomal RNA
Source: RNAcentral
GCUACUACCGAUUGAAUGGUUUAGUGAGAUCAUCGGACCGGCCCCGGCACGUCGGGCGACCGUCGAGCCGUGGUUGCCGGGAAGACGAUCGAACUUGAUCAUUUAGAGGAAGUAAAAGUCGUAACAAGGUUUCCGUAGGUG